Molecule: non-coding RNA, 85 nt
Organism: Favolaschia claudopus
Lineage: Eukaryota; Fungi; Basidiomycota; Agaricomycetes; Agaricales; Mycenaceae
Source: the annotation of a GenBank genome assembly
GCUGCUGUAGCACAAAGGUAGUGCACCGCUUUCCUAAUUUGGAAGUCUCAGGCGGAGGCUGUGGGUUCGAGUCCCAUCAGCAGUU